RNAcentral lists this long non-coding RNA (440 nucleotides) under Callithrix jacchus (white-tufted-ear marmoset). RNAcentral describes it as "lncRNA (ENSCJAG00000082803.1)". The record is from RNAcentral. Lineage: Eukaryota; Metazoa; Chordata; Mammalia; Primates; Cebidae.
CUUUUAUUCAUCAAAUAUGUUUUCCUUUAUCAUUUUGUCCUUUGCCUUUAUAUUUAGAUAUUCUUUCCCAUGCUAUUGACCAAAAACAUUUUCUUCUGGUUCUUUUACAGUCUGUUUUGAAAUUCAAAGUGUAAAAUGGGGAUAUGGAGGAAUGGGCAAGACUUGAAUGCACAUGUUUCGUCGCCCAGGUUUGGGUAGUGCUGUCCUCAGUCUCUUGGGGCAUACUUCUUUCCGAGAUCUGGCACAAACGACCCCUCAGGGCUUAAAGACUUGCGAAUGACAGAUGAUGAAGCUCUGGAUCCGUGUUGAAAGCAGACUUCUGGUAAGUUUUCCUGAGUUGAUGUCUGGGCUUUUUCCUCUAAGGAGAUAGAUGUGAAGCUCUUAAUCUGGUGCCUUAUAGCGUGGGGAGCAGAAAGUUGGAAGCCAAGAUGCCCUGGCUG